GAUGAAGAACGUAGCGAAAUGCGAUAAGUAAUGCGAAUUGCAGAAUUUCCGUGAGUCAUCGAAUCUUUGAACGCACAUUGCGCCCAUUGGUAUUCCGAUGGGCAUGCCUGUUCGAGCGUCAUUAUCUUCCCUCAAACCUCGCGUUUGGUGUUGGGCCGUGCUGGUUCCUGCGUGACCAACUGGCCUCAAAGACAAUGACGGCGUCCGUGGGACCCUCGAUGCAACGAGCUUCUCAGGAGCACGCGUCGAGUUUCAAGGACCUUCCGGGCCGGUCUCUCCUCAUGUUGUUACAAGGUUGACCUCGGAUCAGGUAGGGAUACCCGCUGAACUUAAGCAUAUCAAUAAGCGGAGGA
Molecule: unclassified non-coding RNA, 353 nt
Filed under: soil metagenome
Description: partial contains 5.8S ribosomal RNA, internal transcribed spacer 2, and large subunit ribosomal RNA
Rfam family: 5.8S ribosomal RNA (bases 1-121)
Source: RNAcentral